This 1161-nucleotide long non-coding RNA is filed under the name Physcomitrium patens. Its description in RNAcentral is "long non-coding RNA (PPAT_LNC006335)". The record is from RNAcentral. Lineage: Eukaryota; Viridiplantae; Streptophyta; Bryopsida; Funariales; Funariaceae.
ACCACUCGUGAGCCUUGGUGAGGCUCGAAUUCCUGAUUUCUUAAGCAAGUUAUCCUUGAGGUAAAAAUUAUUCACUUAACUUUUCUACUAUUUACAUUCUAUUUUUAAUCUAUCAUAACUUACUCAUAGUAACUUGGAAUUACAUGAUUUUUAUGUCGUUGGAAAUAUAAAAAAUAUAUAUCUAUCUAAAAAAUAUAAUUUUUACUUUUUUUUUGAUGAAAAUCUACUGAACAGACUGUAACUUAGUUUUGGGUGUUGUGAUUACUUGAUUUCAUUUCUUUCACUUGUAUUUUGGUUGUUCUUCUUGGUUUUUGCCAAUUGCUUACUUCACUUCACACCACCAAUUACUAGAAACUCUUAAUUGAGGCCAUCUUCUAAUUAGAAUUGACAAGUAAAAUUUAGACUCACAUAAAUGAUGUAUUUGCUGGGAGAUGGUGCUUCUAAUGGUGUGUAAGAAUGUGAAGUUAGCUUUUGGUGAAUGAUCUUGCUUGGACUUAUUGUGUGAGCAUUGCAACUUAGUCUUCAUUAUUUUUAAUUUUUCUACCUCUCUCCUCAUUGGUGUAAACAAGGCCUUCAAAUUUUUAAAAAUCAAAAGAUAGUUAAAAGUUUUGUUGUUGAGUAGAAUGUUGAUUUGCUCUCGGAUUUUUGUCAAUCCGUUUUUGGUUAGUUUAUAGUUAAAGUUGAAACUUUGGUAGUGUAUGUAUCUUGCUGUUAGCUUUCUAAAAAGUUAUUAUACGCUCAAUUUGGAGCUAUAACGAAUUUGUGGUGAAUUUUCGAACACAAGAGGAUUCACUGCCUUGGCAGUUUUGUGUACCCUGUCUCUCACAAGGCAUUUCUAAGUGCCGGAUAAAUAUUUUAUAGUGAAAAUUUCUGAGUACAAGCACCUCAAAGUUGAGUUUUCAGUGGUGCAAAAUCCAAUUCUUUUGAAUCAAAAUUUAAUUUGUGGCGAUUAUUGGAGUGGAGGGAGGUUGCUGCCUUGAGCAAAUACAAUUGAGGUUAGUGAUUUCUAUCUUUUCAAUCAUUUACAUUGUUGAUCUUUUGUUAUGCUUUUAAUUUUUUUUUUUAAAUUCUCUCAACUUUGUUAAAUUAUAAUCAUAAUAAUAAUAAAUAAAUAAAAAUAGAAAAUAAAUAAAAAUAUAAAUAAAUAAAUAAAUAAAUAAG